GAUGAACGCUGGCGGCGUGCCUAAUACAUGCAAGUCGAGCGAACAGAUGAGGAGCUUGCUUCUCUGACGUUAGCGGCGGACGGGUGAGUAACACGUGAAUAACCUACCUAUAAGACUGGGAUAACUUCGGGAAACUGGAGCUAAUACCGGAUAAUAUAUUGAACCGCAUGGUUCAAUAGUGAAAGACGGUUUUGCUGUCAUUUAUAGAUGGAUCCGCGCCGUAUUAGCUAGUUGGUAAGGUAACGGCUUACCAAGGCAACGAUGCGUAGCCGACCUGAGAGGGUAAUCGGCCACACUGGAACUGAGACACGCUCCAGACUCCUACGGGGGGCAGCAGUAGGGAAUCUUCCGCAAUGAGCGAAGGCCUAACGGAGCAACGCCGCGUGAGUGAUGAAGGUCUUCGGAUCGUAAAACUCUUUUAUUAGGGAGGAACAAAUGUGUAAGUAACUAUGCACGUCUUGACGGUACCUAAUCAGAAAGCCACGGCUAACUACGUG
RNAcentral lists this ribosomal RNA (497 nucleotides) under uncultured bacterium. Its description in RNAcentral is "partial 16S ribosomal RNA". It matches the Rfam family "Bacterial small subunit ribosomal RNA", at positions 28 to 507 of the family's 1533-position model. The record is from RNAcentral.